UUAUCAGUCUUUGAGUUGCCUGCCUCAGAGUGGGCAGGAAGAUGUAGUCAAUCAAUGAAUGACAUUUCCUGCACCUCUAAAAGGACUAGCCUCCAGUGAGUGGCUAACUGCAUAAGGUGGUCAGUUCCCUGUACCAGUUAUCUAUUGCUGCAUAACCGCCACCACCCCCAGAAAGAGUGGUUUAAAAUGAUCAGCAUUGACUAUUGCUCGUAGUCUGUGGGUUGGCUGGGUGGUUCUUCUGGUCUGGGCAGGGCUCGGUUGAUCUUGGCUGGUGCACUCUUGCUUCCACAGUCAGCUGGUGGGUCAGCUGGGGCUAGCUGGUCUCGAGUGGCCUCAGCUAGGUUGGUUCUUCUCUGCUCUGCGUGGCCUCUCGUCAUCCAGCAGGCCAGCUUGGGCUUGUUCUCGUGGUGGACGCAGAAUCCCAAGAGAACAAGUAGAAGCCGGAAGGCAUCUUGAGGCCCAGGCUAGGAAGCAGGACGUGCUUUCAUCACCUUAAUCACUUCCUGUUGGCUAAAGCGGCCCAGGUUCUAGGAUAGAGACCUAGAUUUCUUCAUGAGAGGAGCAGCAAAGUCAUAUUGUCAAGGGCAUGGAUACAGGGAGGGAGGGAAGAUUGGGACUUUAUUUUAAAAGCUCAAUUUGACCCACGCUCCAACACUCAUUCCGUAUCAGUUAAGGAAGUUCUAGUCCCUGGUCAGUGAUUGCUUCAACAACGGGCAGGUAACCCAAUUCUGGGCCAUGAGACAGGAGGAAAGCCUGCUGGGGUUUUCUGGGAAAGGUUUCCUUGCUCCUCAGGGGGAGCCCUGGAGAGAGAUGGCCUCUAUUUUCCUUCUGGUUAUGACGCCUGUAUUUGUAUCCGCCAUCCAAGGUCCAGCCGCAGGUGAAACCAAGGCCGAGACGCCAGAGCAGAGAAAUGAAGGAACCCGGGUCUGCGGAGGCCUGGUGGGGCUGCUGCAUCCACCAGGCCAGAAACCUACCCUGCCUCUGGACUUCCUGCUGAACAAGAUAUUACAUUUCCAGCUUCUUUAAGCCGCUUUACAUCAGGCUUCCUGUUCCUUGGACCAAAAGCAUCCUCAGUGAUGCCCUGGGGACUCUUUCGGUCUCUGGGAACCUGCUCUGCCUGAUGCGCCAGGUCAGAACUGGAGGCUCUAGGCUUUUCCCUUUGAUGAUGCUGGACGGUCCCGAAUGCAGCCCCCAAGCUUCUGCCUUGCGUUUUGCACAGGGACCACCACCUGCCCACUGCACCGAGGACCCUCAGCCGCAACGGCCGAACCAGCGGGCAUCAGCCGGAUUCAGAAGUCCUGGGUUCUGGAGUUCUUUUCUUCUGCUGGUUUUGAUCUCUGUCUUUCAUUGUACAAGCCGGCCUCCCGUGUCCAGUGAUCCUUGGCUGUGAGUUCAUAUUGAAGAGCAGGAAACUGAAAACAGAUCAUCAGAAGCUCCCUGCCUGUGGGCAGGGCAUGUGGACGGGGGGCCCGGGUUCAAUCCCUGGUCAGGGAACUAGAUCCCACAUGAAUGCUGCAACUAAGAGUUCACACGCCACAACUAAGGAGCCCGUGUGCCACACCUAAGGAGCCAGCGAGCCACAAUCAAGGAGCCUGCAAGCUGCAACUAAGGAGCCCACCUGCCACAACUAAGACCCAGCGCAACCAAAUAAAUAAAUAAAUAUAUUUUUUAAAAAUGAACCAGACAUGCUCUGCCAUCAGGGAUGAGGACCUACUAAUUUCCGAGCACCUACUAUGUGCCAGACGCUGAAUCUGGAUCAGGGUUUUGUCCCUCAGGGAACAGUUGGCUAUGUCUGGAGACAUUUUUGUUGUCACCACUGGGGAGUGGGUGUGGGUACUACUGGUGUCUAGUGGGUAGAGGCCAGGGAUGCUGCUACAAUACAAAGGACCAUCCCCACAACAGAAAAGUCAGUAGUGCCAAGGUGGAGAGCCCUGCUCUGGAAUGAAGAAAAACGCGUUCCCUGGCUUCAUGGGAAAGGAACAAAGAAUUUCUAUCUCCUCAGCACCUACUACACACUUUCACGAACCCCUUUGGCCCAGGGGUCGUUUGCUUUCAGCCUGGGACAGGUGCGUGGAGAUGGGAGCCACACGCCUGCCUUCCUGCCCAACCCCCCCUCCCCCUUCAGCCUCUGGGGAAGAGCACAGGGUGGCAGCAGCUGCCAGGGUGCGAGCUGGCCCAGACCUGUGGCCCUGCUUGACGUUGGUCCCCGCCAAGCCAUGUGACGAGACCAGGCCACAAGAAAGAGGUUUCAACAAGCAUUAUCGCUUCCUGGAACUCCGACUCCGCGACUUCCCCGAAGACCGGCUGUGCCUGGCGGGCGGGCUGUGCACGGAGGGGACCGGGCUGCUGCCUUCCUCCUCCGCUGCCCCCACAGCUGCCACUCUCUAUCUCAGUCUGACUACCUGGAAAUACUCCACCCCUCCGGGCCCAGCACCCCUAUGGUUUGGCUGUCAGGUCAGCACCGGCCCCAGGAGUGGCGGGGUAAGGCUGGUCCAGAAAGUCCUUCCAAUGACCUCUGGGAUGCUCGGGCUGAGCUGGACCGGGCUGGGACCCCGGAUGUCCAGAAACCCACCCUGUCUCCUCUCUGCCCCUGACGGGGGCAGCUGACGACCAGGUUGGGCACAGAUUUUCCUCGGUGUUACUGGUAGGAAAAUGGACACAGAUAUUCUGCUCCAUUUCAUCUGCCCACCAGAUGGGGGACACUUGGUAGACAGACAUACAAUUUCUGUUUCUGUCUGGCUGGUUUGGGCCUUGGAAA
Orcinus orca (killer whale) is the source of this 2758-nucleotide long non-coding RNA. RefSeq lists it as uncharacterized. The record is from RefSeq and is a predicted model, not a curated record. The transcript has 3 exons. Lineage: Eukaryota; Metazoa; Chordata; Mammalia; Artiodactyla; Delphinidae.